Molecule: ribosomal RNA, 333 nt
Filed under: uncultured bacterium
Lineage: Bacteria
Description: bacterial SSU rRNA
Rfam family: Bacterial small subunit ribosomal RNA
Source: RNAcentral
GACGAACGCUGGCGGCGUGCUUAACACAUGCAAGUCGAGCGGUAAGGCCCUUUCGGGGGUACGACGAGCGGCGAACGGGUGAGUAACACGUGGGUGACCUGCCCUCAGCUCUGGGAUAAGCCUGGGAAACCGGGUCUAAUACCGGAUAUGACUCCAUGACGCAUGUUGUGGGGUGGAAAGCCUUGUGCGGCUGAGGAUGGGCCCGCGGCCUAUCAGCUUGUUGGUGGGGUGAGGCCUACCAAGGCGACGACGGGUAGCCGGCCUGAGAGGGCGACCGGCACACUGGGACUGAGACACGGCCCAGACUCCUACGGGAGGCAGCAGUGGGGAACU